RNAcentral lists this unclassified non-coding RNA (706 nucleotides) under Hevea brasiliensis (rubber tree). The record is from RNAcentral. Lineage: Eukaryota; Viridiplantae; Streptophyta; Magnoliopsida; Malpighiales; Euphorbiaceae.
AAAUGACUUGGGGUCGGAUAACUAGUUGAGAUCGAUUAAACGCCUACUAGGGGGAUCGACAUAAUUGCAAUUAUUUGAACUAUGAUUUUGAAGAAUGACCAAAAUAUGGUGUCUACAAACAUCCACCAUUUUAUUCCAAAUAUUGUUACAGCCUAGUGCCUUAAUCAUCAAGGAAUGAUGGAUUCGAUAAUAGGUCCUUCCUGUGGAUUUGGAAAGGGCAUUGAUGGUGGCAGUGGCGGAAGUGGUUGAGCUUGGGGAGUAUUUGUCCUCUCCUCAGUUUUUGUCUUUGAUACCCCAGCAUUCUCCCUGAGCUUUUCGAGCUUCUGCAUUAUCUUUUUCUUCAUAUCAAGUCUCCCAACACGAGCUUCCGCUGGUUCUACCGCAGAGAGAACGAUGAUUCCACCUAAAGUUUCAGCUGUAAGAUAUAGCAAUGCAUCUCUCCGUGAAACGUUCAGUGUUUUUGGUGCUUGCAGUGUCUCCUCUUUCAAUCUUACCACCUGAAUCACUGGCCGCUUGAUGGCAGGUAAUCUUCCUUCUGUAGUUAUGUGGUGGAGUGGGUUCCUUACGCCCUUCGAAUUUGAGAAUGCCAUGAGUUACGGCGGAGAUCGCUGGGAAAACCACCUGAGCUGAGCUAAUCUUCUCUUCUUGCACUCAGGUCAGAAACACAGGGCACCUUACCAAAUGUGGCGAAAGGGCGAGGGACUUU